GGUGAGAUGGCCGAGCGGUCUAAGGCGCCAGACUAAGGAGCUUACGUAAUCUGGUCCGAAAGGGCGUGGGUUCGAAUCCCACUCUCAUCA
This 90-nucleotide transfer RNA is filed under the name Fibroporia radiculosa. It matches the Rfam family "tRNA". Rfam says of the family: Transfer RNA (tRNA) molecules are approximately 80 nucleotides in length. Their secondary structure includes four short double-helical elements and three loops (D, anti-codon, and T loops). The record is from Rfam by way of RNAcentral. Lineage: Eukaryota; Fungi; Basidiomycota; Agaricomycetes; Polyporales; Fibroporiaceae.